This is a non-coding RNA of Stegodyphus mimosarum, 74 nucleotides long. The record is from Rfam. Lineage: Eukaryota; Metazoa; Arthropoda; Arachnida; Araneae; Eresidae.
GCCUUCGUGGUGUAGUGGUCAGUACGCUCGACGCGUAACCGAGAGGUCCGUGGUUCGAUUCCCGGCUAAAGGCG